AGAGUUUGAUCAUGGCUCAGGAUGAACGCUGGCGGCGUGCCUAACACAUGCAAGUCGAACGAAGCAUAUAAAGCGGACUUCUUCGGGACGAAGCAGUAUAUGACUUAGUGGCGGACGGGUGAGUAACGCGUGAGCAACCUGCCUUACACAGGGGGACAACAGUUGGAAACGACUGCUAAUACCGCAUAAGCACACAGUACCGCAUGGUACAGGGUGAAAAGAUUUAUCGGUGUAAGAUGGACUCGCGUCCGAUUAGUUAGUUGGCGGGGUAACGGCCCACCAAGACAACGAUCGGUAGCCGACUUGAGAGAGUGAUCGGCCACAUUGGGACUGAGACACGGCCCAAACUCCUACGGGAGGCAGCAGUGGGGAAUAUUGCACAAUGGGGGAAACCCUGAUGCAGCGACGCCGCGUGAGCGAAGAAGAAUUUCGGUAUGUAAAGCUCUAUCAGCAGGGAAGAUAAUGACGGUACCUGAAUAAGAAGCUCCGGCUAAAUACGUGCCAGCAGCCGCGGUAAUACGUAUGGAGCAAGCGUUAUCCGGAUUUACUGGGUGUAAAGGGAGCGUAGACGGUACGGCAAGUCUGAUGUGAAAGCCCGUGGCUCAACCGCGGAACUGCAUUGGAAACUGUCGAACUGGAGUGCAGGAGAGGUAAGCGGAAUUCCUAGUGUAGCGGUGAAAUGCGUAGAUAUUAGGAGGAACACCGGUGGCGAAGGCGGCUUACUGGACUGUAACUGACGUUGAGGCUCGAAAGCGUGGGGAGCAAACAGGAUUAGAUACCCUGGUAGUCCACGCCGUAAA
RNAcentral lists this ribosomal RNA (800 nucleotides) under uncultured bacterium. RNAcentral's name for it is "bacterial SSU rRNA". It matches the Rfam family "Bacterial small subunit ribosomal RNA", at positions 8 to 806 of the family's 1533-position model. The record is from RNAcentral.